GGAAAUUAAGAAGAUUUUAUGGGGAUAAAUUGGGAAGAGUGGGGUUAAUUUUGGUAUGAGUGGAGGUAUGAGCAUGGGAAUGGGCAUGGUAAAUUAUAGCAUUUGGAUGAGGAUCAAAAUUGGUCAUAAAAUGCUCCUUUUGGUUGUUGUUGUUGUCCACAACCAUUGAAUUAUCAUUAUCCAAUAAAAGCUCUUUUAACAUCUCUGGAAUUGCUUCAUCUUUCAUUAUCUUUUUCCAGUAUUCUCCUUCUUCCUUCUUGCUUCCAUGGCUUACAUCUCCAAACAGGAGAAGAGAAAUUAGGAGAAGGAAGAAAGCAACAGAAAGCUUCAUAUGUGUUUGUCUCGCAACAGAUGAAGGCAGAAG
RNAcentral lists this unclassified non-coding RNA (364 nucleotides) under Hevea brasiliensis (rubber tree). Lineage: Eukaryota; Viridiplantae; Streptophyta; Magnoliopsida; Malpighiales; Euphorbiaceae. The record is from RNAcentral.